RNAcentral lists this long non-coding RNA (1412 nucleotides) under Bos indicus x Bos taurus (hybrid cattle). RNAcentral describes it as "lncRNA (ENSBIXG00005003901.1)". The record is from RNAcentral. Lineage: Eukaryota; Metazoa; Chordata; Mammalia; Artiodactyla; Bovidae.
CACAGGGGCGAUUUAGGGAGGAUGGAGGUGAGCUGGUUACUGGUUCGGACACAUAGAGCCUCCUGUGCCCUCAAGCCUCUCCUGUCCAGUAAUGGAAGGGUGCUCUAUCCAAGUGCCUGAAACAGCACAGCAGAAGGAAUUCUGUGUUCAUAGGAAAGGCCUCGCAGAGAGGCCACGUGGACUGAGCCUAGGAGAACGGACCGGGACACACAGAUACAGGCUGCUCUAUCUGGGCUGGGAUCCUGGCCUCCAUGCCACACUCCUGGUGCCCUCCCCACCUGCUGAGCCGCGCCAAGCUUUGCCAGUGACCCUCAAAUCUUGGAGCCAGGACCUCUCCCUCAGCUCAUUGGUCCAAGCACUGGGAUGCAGUGAUGGAAAUGUCAUUCUUAGAGAGGAAGAUAUUUCCAAAUGAACCACCUGGUAUGAAACUAUCCUACAGGUAAAACCUUUUUACAACCGUAACUUUUUUAUGGCUUAUGUUCUUAUUCAACGGACAUGUUACCCAACUGGUCAUUUGUAAAUAGAAAAACAUUCCCUUCCCCAAACCUGAAGUAGUUCCGUAUGUGUCCACAAUUUAAGAUUUAGAGGAAGAAAUAUGAGUUUGGUAUCAAAGGGUCUGGAUUAAAUAGGGAUUCCUAAACUGGUCCAUACACAGAAUUCAGAAGGUCUUUGAACUUGGGAAAAUGACACCUUUCCUCUACUAUCUAGCUAAAAUUUAGAUCUUCUUCAAUUAAGAAUAUAGACUACAUGCCACAUGAGUAUGCAUUAGCAAGACCUGUGUCUCUGCCACUGGUGGAAGUGACAGAUAUUUUCUUCUUACUUAAAAGUUGUUGCAGACCCUUUAAAUAUCAUUUAUGCUCAUCUUCACUGUGAAAUGAAGGUUGUUGUUAGACCUGGUAUAGAUUGUUUUUAACUGUGUUCAUGAAGAGAUGUGUAUUACUAGUUCACAAAUUUAUCUUAAUAUAGAAUUAUGGUUCAGUGUAAUUGGUUUCCCUUAUAAUCGUAUAUAUUUUAUUCAUUUUAUCCAUUCUAAAACAUUCUGAGAAGGCUUUGUCAGAUUGUCAAAGGAGUAUAUAAGGGAUAAAAAAGGUUAAGGACCUUUGGGUUCUGGCAGGUCUUCAUGGAAAAGAAGAGAAAGAUCAGCUCAUUGCAGCACUGGCUUAUUAUUUAUAACAUAUAAUUAAUAGCAGCAUAAGUAAUUUGAUAGGCUCUUGCCAUAAGUCAGCCACCUGUUACAGAUGAGGAAACCAAAGACCCAGGGAAACUGGUAAGUCUGAACCAUUUGGAGAACAUGUUACUACAAGGCUGAGAUGGCUGUGGGAGUAGUUUUCUCCAAACCAUUCUUAUUUCACUGGAAAGUAUUCUCCAAUGAUUUAAAAAAAAAAAAAAAAAACCUUCCAUAAACCAAGCUA